RNAcentral lists this ribosomal RNA (475 nucleotides) under uncultured Bacteroidales bacterium. RNAcentral's name for it is "bacterial SSU rRNA". It matches the Rfam family "Bacterial small subunit ribosomal RNA", at positions 918 to 1397 of the family's 1533-position model. Lineage: Bacteria; Pseudomonadati; Bacteroidota; Bacteroidia; Bacteroidales. The record is from RNAcentral.
GGCGCACAGCGGAGGACAUGUGGUUUAAUUCGAUGAUACGCGAGGAACCUUACCCGGGUUUGAACGCAUUCGGACCGAGGUGGAAACACCUCUUCUAGCAAUAGCCGUUUGCGAGGUGCUGCAUGGUUGUCGUCAGCUCGUGCCGUGAGGUGUCGGCUUAAGUGCCAUAACGAGCGCAACCCUUGCCACUAGUUACUAACAGGUGAUGCUGAGGACUCUGGUGGGACUGCCAGCGUAAGCUGCGAGGAAGGCGGGGAUGACGUCAAAUCAGCACGGCCCUUACAUCCGGGGCGACACACGUGUUACAAUGGCGUGGACAAAGGGANGCCACCUGGCGACAGGGAGCGAAUCCCCAAACCACGUCUCAGUUCGGAUCGGAGUCUGCAACCCGACUCCGUGAAGCUGGAUUCGCUAGUAAUCGCGCAUCAGCCAUGGCGCGGUGAAUACGUUCCCGGGCCUUGUACACACCGCCCGU